This 253-nucleotide ribosomal RNA is filed under the name uncultured bacterium. Its description in RNAcentral is "partial 16S ribosomal RNA". It matches the Rfam family "Bacterial small subunit ribosomal RNA", at positions 524 to 776 of the family's 1533-position model. The record is from RNAcentral.
UACGGAGGGUGCAAGCGUUGUCCGGAUUUAUUGGGUUUAAAGGGUGCGUAGGCGGUUUGAUAAGUCAGUGGUUAAAUGUUACAGCUCAACUGUGAAAGUGCCAUUGAUACUGUUAGACUAGAGUAUUGUAGAGGUUGGCGGAAUUGGUAGUGUAGCGGUGAAAUGCAUAGAUACUACCAGGAACAUCGAUUGCGAAGGCAGCUAACUGGACAAUAACUGACGCUGAGGCACGAAAGCAUGGGUAGCAAACAGG